This is a non-coding RNA of Rattus norvegicus (Norway rat), 4415 nucleotides long. NCBI's taxonomy places the organism in Eukaryota, Metazoa, Chordata, Mammalia, Rodentia, Muridae. The record is from RefSeq and is a predicted model, not a curated record.
AGGUGGGCCCUGCUGUCAUUCGACCGCUCAGCAACCAUCUCUGGUCAGCUGUGGGGCAGUUUGCUGGUUGACUGUCCUCUCCUUGGGAGAUCUUGCAGCUCUGGAGAUCUGGUUUAGGUGAUCUGAGUUUUGUUCUACAGAACCCUGACUAAUACAUGAAUCAUGAAAUGUAUUUGUGUUAAUACAUAGUGAUCAGAAAGGAAAAGAAUGUUGGUGAGGCGGAGAGGCAGUGUAAAGCCUGUGUCAGGCUCUCAGCCAAGGAAACAAUGCCAAGGACCUCAACUCUGGUGGCUACAGUACAACUAGGAAUGGAAUGGGAAAGACCUUUUAAGACAACAGAUUGGGGCUGGUAAGAUGAUGGCUCACGGUUAAAGAACUGACUGCUCUUCCAGAAGUCCUGAGUUCAAUUCCCAGCAACCACAUGGUGGCUCACAGCCAUCUGUAAUGGGCUCCGAUGCCCUACUCUGGUGUGUCUGAAGACAGCUACAGUGUACUCAUAUAAAUAAAAAUAAAUCUUUAAAAAAAAGACAUUAGAUUACAUGCAAUAAACACAUGUAUAUAGCAAGGAAGGUGAAGUGAAAAAAGUUGAAGGCCACUUGGAGACGUCACGGCUAUGUACAUGGAUGUAAUCUGACAACGUCACUAACCAAACAAGUGGGGGAAACAAAUUCUGCUUCUAGAUAUGAUGAAAACAAAAUCAUUUACAGCCUAUGUUAAGAGAAGCUGUAAUAACAGGAACUUGAAACUGAGAUCUGGAAUUCAGAGACAGAUUGAAGCUCAAGAUUUAAGAACAUACUAGGAAACAGUAAAGUCUAAAAUGGAUCAAAUUACCCAGGAACUGGUUAAUCAAAAGUAUGUAUGUAGCACAGAAUAAAAGGCUUUCUUGUUAGCCUCACUUAAACACAGAAUUUUAAUAAGCCUUAUAUGUGGUAUCAUUUAGAAUAAAAAAUUAAUGUCAAGAGUAGAAAAUGACACAAAAAUUAUCUGCUUGUAUGUGUGCUUUGGCAUGACAGUCAGUGGCCUAAUUUAAUCAAAUCUGAGAUUUAGAAAUAAGAAAUUAUUCCCAAGCCAUCCACGGUACACCCAGAGGAUGAAAAACUGCAGGGAGGGAGUGAGUGUCGGGCCCCAUCAGUGUGUUCAGACACUAGGACUGAAUCGAGGAGUUCAGCAGCAACUCUUCGAGGGAAGCCAUCUUUAGUGAAGACGUUUAGAAACACCUUGAGACAUGUUUAGAGAUCACAGAAGAAAUGGUUUAAGUAACAGAUCUAAGUACAAAAUACAUUUUAUUUAUUCAAAUCAUGUUGGUUUUCAGAAUAUUUUGAAGUAACACACAAAAUUAUAUCAAAGCUAUAUUUUAAUCUCAGCCCACUCCACACUAAAUUCUUUACUGUUUACCAAAAAUAACUUUUUAUAAAGCUUACUAUUUUUGUCUAAUAUAAUACAGAUUGCUGAUCUAUUUUUAUGUGUUUCUCUCAAAAAUUAGAAGAGCUUAUGAGCAUAUCAUACAAAACUAAGUGGUAUAUUACACACCAAACACGAGUACAGAUUCUGUACAAUAAUGUAACAGCAUACACAUACUACAUGAGACUACAUGCCUUGUUAGGUCAUAUUUUCAGAAAUCUUUCAUGGAAAAAUUCUACAUUGCAAAAGGUGGUGGUUCAUACUCAAACUCAAAUUCUUUUCAUGAAUUUCUUUCAGAGGGCAUUAGUUGUCCAUUUAACUUCAUUAGCAGCUUUACCACAAGACCAGCCUACAAAAUAAAACAGAUGUUAACAUCAAAUAUGAAACAUAAAAAGAUUAAAAGACAUAUAGAGUAGUAGGCAUUUUCAUACCUACUUGAAAGAUAACUAUUAGGAAGAGACAGCACGUCAAGAAACUGGGCAUAUCUGACACAUCUGCAAACCCACGAACUUAGCUCUAGGCCUGCAGGUGUGAACCCUUUUCAUUAAAGAACUCCCUUUGCCUGGUCUAGCCCCAGCCCUGUAGGUUCAGGGCCACAUUUCUCUGGUUCAGCUAAACAGCUUAAGCAUCAGCUUUACAAGGCCUAGUUUAGAUCACAUGAGUGUUGAGCAGCAUGGCUCAAUCUAAGGAAAGCCAGAUUAUCACAUCAGACACCCAACCAACACAUACCCAGGUCACAUGGCAAAAACAAAGAUUGGCCAACAGCAUGUCUCCCAUCAAACCCACUAGUCCCACAGAAGUGUUCUGCAAUGAGAAGUACAUAGAUGAACCUCAGGACAUAAGACUCAAAAGAAUAAUCAUAAAGAUUACCAAAGGAUUCAAGGAAUUCAAAGAAGAUACAAAUACUUUAUUGAACUCCAAGAGGAUAACAAUAAACACUGGAGUGCUAACCAAGAAAAUACACACAUCUGAGUAAAAUAAAAAUAACUUAGGAUUUGAAAACUUAAACUGAAUAAAGAGAAACAUUAAUAAGAACACAAGAUGAAAUGAAGAUGUAAUUGAAAAACUCAAUAUGCCAAUGAGAAAACUGAGGGAAAUUUUAAUAAGCAGAAUCAAUCUGAGUCAAACAGACAACAGAUACCUGGACUAGAACAUAAAAGAAUCUAGACUAAAUAAACGAAAAUAAAUCAAGAUUUUUAAUAAGCAUAGAACAGAAACAUAUAGGAAAUAUGGAACAUUAGCAAAAGAUCAAAUCUUUGAAUUACAGGGCAUUCAAUGACAUAAUCCAGAUCUUUAACAAGAUGAUACAUGAAAACUUGUCCAAAUUAAAGACACAUCUACAGACACAAGACAGACACAGAACACCAAAUAAAUAAGAUGAAAAGAAGCAUACAAAAGAAUAUCACAGUUAAAACAUUAAAUAUAACAUAACAAAAGAAGAAAAUAAACCCCCACAAGUCACAUAUAUAGGAAAAUCCAUCAGAAUAACACCUGACUUCUCAAUGGAAACUCUGAAGGCCAUAAAAGCCUAGAGGAAUGCACUCCAAGUUCUAAAAGACAGACCACAAUUGCAAAACUAGACUACUUUAACCAGUGAGACUAUCUACCAAAGUUGACAGAGAAAGAAAAAUUUUCUAUGAUCCAAACAGCUUAUAAAAAUUCAUAUCUAACUACAGCAAAAACACUAAACAAUAUUGGAAGCAAUGCUCUGAACUAAAGAGAGGAAUAAGAAAAGCCAAGAGACCUUGAGGGGCAGGGUGGGUUGGAGAAAGACAAAAUAAAAUUAAGAACACAAACCAGCAAAAAAGAUCAAGAUGACUACAAUCUACAUACACCUUUCAAUAAUAACUCUAAAUAUUAUUGGCCUCAAGUCACCAAUCAAAAGAAAUGGACAAACUUGGAUUAAGAAACAAAAUCCAUCUAUGUGCUGUUUAGAAGAAAUUCUAAAUUUAAAGUUUUAACUUUAAAGAUAGAGACGACCUUAAAGUAAAAGGAGAGAAAAGGCAGUCCCCUACUGAUAGACACUGCACACCUAGGACACAGGAGUUGGACGCUUUGAGAUGGAUCUAACUUGAAAGCCUCUUUCGUGUGGUCUAGCUUUCACAGUUUCAGACAAUACUACGGAAGCUGCCAAGGAAGCAAUUAAGCAGUCCUAUCCUGCUGCAUGACAACCUAUGAACCAUGACAACAGUGUGGCAAGCUAUGCACAAAGGAGCAGUAUAGCAUUUACAUGCCAGUGAUAAUCAACACCUGUCUAACUGGACCUGAGGCACAAGAGGGAAAUCACGGCUAAUACUGGAAACCUAGCCACUUUCCCACAGCUAGUGAAAUCAUGGACCUUAGAAUACCCACUUUGCCAGACCUUAUCCUUGUACCCACAGACGGAUGUAAAGCCACUCAGCCCUCACCAAAGAAGCCUUUCCUCACAGCAGAUGGAGAGCGCCACAGAAAACUACAACUGGGCACAACUGAGAGAUGAAUGGCUCAUGGGGGCCCAGUGCCAACUGACACAUCUACACUAUGGCGCCUAGAUCUAAGGCUCAGGGAGCAUUGCAGAAGAGAAGGUGGAAGAUCACAAGAGACAGAAUAUCAGACACUUACAAGCCACUGGGAAUCACUUUCUCCUACAAAUAGCUGGACACGUAAGACCUGAGCAAUGUCAAUGUCAAGAGACAUGUUACUAUGGAAGGGAGACAUAUUUUAGGAAGAUCCUGCUCCUAGACAGAGAACUAGAGCAAACUACUGACUGCUGGAUGAAGAAUGAGCCUCUCUGAGAGCAACAUGAACGACCUGGUGUCCGAGUACCGGCAGUACCAGGAUGCUACAGCUGAGGAGGAGGCUGAGGAGGAGGUGGCUUAGAGCUGUCUUAGUCACUCCAGCAUGGGAGCAGUGUGAACUCUUUAUUCAUUCACAGCUUGUCUGCUAGCCGUGUCCACUGUGCAUUUGCUGUCCUGUGUCCUGACAUCACUUGUACAGAUACCACCAUUAAAGCAAUUCAUGGUGGAAAAAAAAAA